RNAcentral lists this ribosomal RNA (498 nucleotides) under uncultured bacterium. RNAcentral describes it as "partial 16S ribosomal RNA". It matches the Rfam family "Bacterial small subunit ribosomal RNA", at positions 28 to 507 of the family's 1533-position model. The record is from RNAcentral.
GACGAACGCUGGCGGCGUGCCUAAUACAUGCAAGUCGAGCGGACGGAUGGGAGCUUGCUCCCAGCCCGUCAGCGGCGGACGGGUGAGUAACACGUGGGCAACCUGCCUGUAAGACUGGGAUAACUCCGGGAAACCGGGGCUAAUACCGGAUAACUCUUUCCCUCCCAUGAGGGAAAGCUGAAAGAUGGCAUCUCGCUAUCACUUACAGCUGGGCCCGCGGCGCAUUAGCUAGUUGGUGAGGUAACGGCUCACCAAGGCGACGAUGCGUAGCCGACCUGAGAGGGGGAUCGGCCACACUGGGACUGAGACACGGCCCAGACUCCUACGGGAGGCAGCAGUAGGGAAUCUUCCGCAAUGGACGAAAGUCUGACGGAGCAACGCCGCGUGAGUGAUGAAGGUUUUCGGAUCGUAAAACUCUGUUGUCAGGGAAGAACAAGUACCGGAGUAACUGCCGGUACCUUGACGGUACCUGACCAGAAAGCCACGGCUAACUACGUG